RNAcentral lists this long non-coding RNA (4076 nucleotides) under Equus caballus (horse). RNAcentral's name for it is "lncRNA (ENSECAG00000044497.1)". The record is from RNAcentral. Lineage: Eukaryota; Metazoa; Chordata; Mammalia; Perissodactyla; Equidae.
GUGAGUUUUCCUCUCUUCAUUUCUGCUACAUAACAACCUUCUCUUAAGGGCACGAAUUUAGAAUGGAGCAGGGAGGGGGAGGUGGGGGUGGGGAGAGAGAAGCAGAAAAUACUUGGAAUGAAAGACACAUUGCUGUGUCUUCCCCCACUUUUGCUCUAGAGUUUGCAUUUCUGCAAAGAAAAUUGAUUUCAAAUUUAGUAUGCCCUCCCCACCCACAAGCGGGUGGAAACAAGGUCUGUGUGUACCCCAAGGAGAGUCACUCAGGCGAGGUGGCCCACGGCGGUGCCAUGGCUGUCCCUAUAUCUCUGGGAUGUGCAGGAAAGCCCAGGCCCCCUCAUUUUCCCAGGUGACCUUCCUCCUCCCAGCACUGCCCACUGACCCCACUCAGGCCCCGGGGCUCAGCCACAAGUACAGGAAGAGCUUGGUCAAACUGGGGUCAUCCUCAGAGGAAGCUUGUACAGCUGGGGCUGAAUUGCUGCCUCUGCUUAAAGAUUCCAGGUAUUUUGGGCUCGUUCCCCAAUCCUAGCAGAGGAAAUACAUUUAGAAUGAUAGACCUUUGUAGUCAUUUCUCUCAGUUGUCUUAAGGAUCUUAGUGUUGGUUGAUCGUAAAGCCAGUGGGUCUGGUGGAAACAUCGAAGAGUCAGGUGAGGAAGGAAUAGCCGGCCCCAGUGGUGUCUGGGAAUGUGUGUCAGGACAGCAUUCAGACAGAAAACCCACUCACACCCAUAGAUGCAAAUCUGAUGAUGGGAAAUCUUAACAAAGACGGCUCAGCAGAAAUGCUAAGCGUAAUGAUCGGAAAGCUUGCCAGUUUGUCACCAUAGCUAACAUGGAUGUAUUAGUUGGGACAAUACAGAUGCUAACUUAAUGGCUAAGAGGAUGGGCUCUGAAGCCAGGCUGUCUGCGUUCAAAUCCCAGUCCUUCACUUAUUUCUGUGUGACCCGGGGUAAGUUACUUAACUUCUCUGUGCUUCAUUUUUCUCAUUUGUAAGACAGAGGCAGUUACAGUGUCCACCGUAGGAUGAUUGAAAGAAACAAGCUUAUUAGUCAUAUAAAGCAUUUAGAAUGAUGCCUGGCGCAUGUAAGCCUUCUUUUUGUCAUCAUCGUCAUUAUGUUGUCUGCAUAGGGCUGGGAGGCCGACAUUCUGUGCUUAUUGAGCAUCUCUCAUUGUGGGUUGGCCAAUGGGAUACCCCAGACUUUGCACAUGCCGGGCUAUAGGAAUCAUUGCAAAGUGAUCACGUUGCACUGGGCUGCCUUCUGCAAUGCCACCAAAGCGUGGGUGUAGGAGAAGGCCAGUGGCCUCCUGCACUUCCAGCACCAGCCCCUGAGAAAUGCUGUGGAGCACAAGCUUCUUGGUCAGGCUUGAAUCUGUGCAAAUGCCUGCUGGCUAAGGGAAGGGAAGGUUGCACACAAGCGAAAGCUUGUAGCUGGCAUUUCUCAAGUAGAAAUGAAUCUAUAAACAUGCAUAAAAAUGGUUAUAUAAAUUAAUGCUUGUACUUGGCUGUGAGUAACAGAGACCUGACUUCAAUGGCUUAACACUCAGGGUUUAUUCUCUUGUAUGAAAGACUUCUGGAGGUAGUUGGUCCAGGGCUGCUCUCUUGGCUCCACAAAGUCAUCUGGGACCCAGCUUCUUCUAUGUCCCUGAUCCACUACACUGGCUUGCAUUUGUAAGAUAACCUCAAGCUUAUGACUCCUGGCAACAGUAUGGCUGCUGGAGCUCCAGCCAUCAUAUUUCAGGCAACAGGAAGGAAGAAGAAAGGAAGAAGGGCUUGCAUUUCCUUUGAAGGAGCUUUCCCCGAAGUUUUCCACCAACAUUUCCACCUAUGUCUCUUUGACCUAGAACUUCAUCAUUUGGCCAAGGGAAGUUGGGGAGUAGUUUCAACUGGUUGUGUUCCUACUUUAAACCAAGGUGGGGUCUGUCAUUAAGAAAGGUGAGGGAAAUGGAUAUUGGAUAGGAAUUAGCAGUCUCUGCCCUAAUUCUGAAAUGAAAUUCGCAUCCCAUUCUGAAAAAAAACUGCAGGUCUGAAUCCAAGAAACUGUGGCAAUCACAGACCCCUGAUACCUAGCAGAGGACCUUAGCCAUGUCAUUGACCACUCUGCACCCAGAUCCCUCAUUCGUAAAACAAUCCCCAUGAAUCACAAGAAAACACAUUUUCACCAAAUCUGGGUCAGAUAAUUCCAAUGGCACAUGGCUCUCUGGAGAGUGGGGGGAAUUGCCAUGGCGUAUGCAAAUGAGCAGCCAAUGGGGAUUUGUGCUGCUUUCUCUAGAGUCCUAGGCCCUGGGGAUGCAGGAGUGAAUGGGAGACAGCCCCAGCCCUUGGGCGCUUUCCAGCUAGUGGGGCAGAUGCGGAGCCAGAGAAUUGCUAUCCGUGGUGGUAAAUGCUUCUCUAGAGCAACGACUCAGAGCUGUGCAAGCUUGGAAGAGGGUGAGGCUCGCCCUGCCCGGCAGACUCAAGGAGCCUGCUCAGAGGAGGGGGCCUGCUGGACACAUGAGUGGCAUUGGCUUUGACUGCUGAAGAGUGAGAGGUUCAUAUUUAUCUGGUGACCCACCAAAGUCAUGUCAGUUAAGAAAUUUGUGAAUAGGCUAAUCAAAUGUGGUAAAUAGAAGAAUAGCUUCCUUGGAGGCAUGAGAUACUAAAAUGACUUACAUUAGUACAUUGUGUUACAGUUAUCACAGACCUUCUAUCAAAGAUCCAAAGCUUCUGGACAAGGCCGACCUCACCCACCACUGGAAUGUAUUACGGGAAGCCAGAUAGGAUGCAGCUGGGGCCUAUUUACUCACAGUGGCCAAGGUUAAAGCAGACGAGUGCCCCCCAGUGAGGAAGGAACACACUCUCAGGCACAGUGAGCAGCGAUGUUUCAGUCGUCCGUUUCGCCGGGAUGUAGAGUGGCCAAGAGUUAGUCACUUAAUUCUGAUCAAUCCAACAGACGUCUCCUCCCCACAACGCAAGCCAACACUUUCUGAAGACAGGAAAUUGGGAAAAGGGUUAAUUUGGAAGUGGCUUCUCUUUACCCUCUUGCUGUGGCUGUUUCCCAAGGGUCUGUCCUUAGCAUUUUCUCUCUCUGUACUUUCUCAUGGCUUCAACCACACCCCUAACAUAUUCCUUCUUUAUCUGAAUUUCCAGCCUCGACCCCCUCUCGGAGUAUCAGGGUACGUGCCCCAUUUUCUGAGAAAUAGUAAUAGGAUUGCUCCAUGAACAGUUUUCCUGAGUGACCAGUUGAUAGUUCAAAUUAAAUAGAUUAUUAAAUUAAAUAGAUGCAAAACCUAAAUUAUUUCAGAUUCCCCUCAACCUUGUUCUUCUUUCUAUGUCCCCUCUAUCUACUGAUGGUGCCACUAACUCCCUCCGUCACUCAGUGCUGGAAAUGUGUAAUUACUGCUGAGAGUGGCCUCAAUCCAAAUUGGGAUAGCUUUUUGACUUUCGGCCUAUUGGCUUGGGUUUGGAUGGCACUUUGGUUAACAUUUCUUCUCUUUGUUCUCCACAGCAGCCACUUGCCUGUCUCCCUCUUGCUUUCCUCCUAUAUUUCCUGAAUUAUGAAACAGUAAUAACCUUCAUGUAUUCUUUCAAGAACUAGUGACCGCACACCUGCCUUGGGCCAUGGACUCCCUGGGCGCUGCUGACAUAGCAGUGAACUUGGCAAAUGGAAUCCCUGCCAUCAUGGGGUUUACCAUAUAAUGAUCAUAACAACAGAUUUUGAGCAUUUGUCGUGUGCCAGGCUCUAAGUUAAGUAUUUACAUGCAUUAUUUUGUUUAAUUCUCAUAAAAACUAUAAUACUAUUAAUAUCUUGGUUGACAUUAAGGAAACUGAGUCUCAGAGAAGGGAGGUAAGUUGCCCAAGGUCUCCCAGGGAGCUUGGCGUGGAUUUGGGCCACCCCUCCAUCCCUCUUGGUCCUUAAACAUUUAGCCUCUGUUUGUUCGGAUUGCCAUGUAUGAUCUGUGUCAUUUUGGAAUCUGUCUGAUCCACUAAUCCUCCAUGUGCAAGGACCCAGGCGAUACUAAGGAUACCAGUGUGUUGAAUAAAGCCAGGACCCGUCUGGAAACGGGGCAGUGCUUAGAGACGCAGGGCGGGGGAAGGAGAUAGG